Long non-coding RNA from Myzus persicae (green peach aphid), 1469 nucleotides. RefSeq lists it as uncharacterized. The record is from RefSeq and is a predicted model, not a curated record. The transcript is spliced from 2 exons. NCBI's taxonomy places the organism in Eukaryota, Metazoa, Arthropoda, Insecta, Hemiptera, Aphididae.
GCUGGUUAAUAUUUUAAUAUUUGAAGAAAAAUGGACCCACUCGAAAAUUGCAGGCAGGUUGCGGAAACAAUAUUAACAAUUCAAAACUUAGAUAAUAGCCAUUGGUCAUUUAAAUUUGAAAUAUGAAAAAAUAGUAUUUAUUAUAUUCAGUAGAUAAAAAUUGAAUUUCAAUCCAGAUGUAGUUAAUAAGUUACAAGUGCUACAACUUAUAAUUGUUUAAACUUUAAAUUAGGUGUUCGAGUGGUGUAACAGCGGUCCCCUCAAAAUGUUGGUCCACUAUACGUACUCGUUGCUCUUCACUCACCACUCAUCAAAACUAUUUAAAUACCUCUUAGUUGUAGAAUUAUAAAUUAUAAGUUAUAACCUACAAGGUUUGAAAUUCAAUUUGUAUACAUUAAAAUCAUCAAAAAUUGUCUGUUUCGGAAAUAGGAAUAUUAAAUUUUUUGAAAUAGUGAUAACGUUUACUGUUAAAAGAACCACCCUGUAUAAUAAUUAAUAUACUUGUAUAUUAUUACGUAUACUAUUACUAACCCCAUGUGGCCAUGUGGGACACACCUGUCCACAGUGUGUCCGCAUGCAUUUUUAUGUUUGUCCAUCAAACUCAUGUAGUCAUUAGUCAUAUCUUAGGUGCAUAUACGCAGUUCGUGGCACAUGGACUCUAAUGUGACUCAACUUAUGUCACCAGGAAAAUAUUGUAAUACUAUUAUGUGCCACACACAAAAUAAUACGAUGCACUAUACGGUGGUUUUUGACGCUUCUCUUCGAAAUGCAAAAAAAAAUAAACUUUGAACCAACAAUAUAACCAUAAUAUUUUUGUUAUUAUUAUUGUAAGUUAUAACCAUCGCGUUAUGUGUGCAUGUUCGAGCAAUAUAUUUAUUUGUUUACUUUACACUUCACACUAUAUAAGCACAAUAUACUCCUAGAUGUACGUGUAGGUAUACACUAUGAUUGUGAUGAUGUCAAAGUCAUGCGAUAGUUUUCUGCAGGAAAUCAUUCGACUACAAAUUACAUUAAUUACAAUGCUCCAUAUCUCUAUAUGCUCAAUAGCUAGUUCUUUAAUAAAAAUAAUAGAUAAUAUACUAAUAUAUAAUAUUGAUUACUAAUUACUAUUAUUUAUUAAUAAUAAAAUAGGUACAUUAUUAUAUACAGGUUGAGGGUAUUCAAAAUGAAUCAUUCCAUCAUCCAAUGCUUUACACCGGGGUUCCCAAUAGGUCACCUGAUCUUUUCGGUAAGAUUUAUGGUCGCUGUGGGACUACUUCUUCUGGGAUUCUGUUCAAGAUACGUUUUACGUGAAUAUCGCCAUUCCUCAUUACUCAUUAGUGUCAUUCUCAGAGGAGCUGGUAGGUUCAUAUUUAAAAUCUUUAAAAAAAAUAAGAAUUGGAUGUGGCUCAUAUUUCUUACUUGUCAAGUUAUUCCGUUUUUGUAUAAGUUUAUUGUUUAUUAAAUAUAUACUAAUGUUUUGUGACUGA